Molecule: long non-coding RNA, 599 nt
Organism: Oncorhynchus keta (chum salmon)
Lineage: Eukaryota; Metazoa; Chordata; Actinopteri; Salmoniformes; Salmonidae
Exons: 3
Source: RefSeq, a predicted model, not a curated record
AACAUGGGCUCCUAAACAACUUCCUGACUGAGAGGUAGACAACAUGGGCUCCUAAAACAACUUCCUGACUGUGAGGUAGACAACAUGGGCUCCUAAAACAACUUCCUGACUGAGGUAGACAACAUGGGCUCCUAAAACAACUUCCUGACUGAGGUAGACAACAUGGGCUCCUAAAACAACUUCCUGACUGUGAGGUAGACAACAUGGGCUCCUAAAACAACUUCCUGACUGUGAGGUAGACAACAUGGGCUCCUAAAACAACUUCCUGACUGUGAGGUAGACAACAUGGGCUCCUAAAACAACUUCCUGACUGAGGUAGACAACAUGGGCUCCUAAAACAACUUCCUGACUGUGAGGUAGACAACAUGGGCUCCUAAAACAACUUCCUGACUGUGAGGUAGACAACAUGGGCUCCUAAAACAACUUCCUGACUGUGAGGUAGACAACAUGGGCUCCUAAAACAACUUCCUGACUGUGAGGUAGACAACAUGGGCUCCUAAAACAACUUCCUGACUGUGAGGUAGACAACAUGGGCUCCUAAAACAACUUCCUGACUGUGAGGUAGACAACAUGGGCUCCUAAAACAACUUCCUGACUGU